Molecule: ribosomal RNA, 474 nt
Filed under: uncultured bacterium
Lineage: Bacteria
Description: bacterial SSU rRNA
Rfam family: Bacterial small subunit ribosomal RNA
Source: RNAcentral
CAGGAUGAACGCUGGCGGCGUGCUUCAUACAUGCAAGUCGAACGUGAAGCUGACUUCGGUCAGUGGAAAGUGGCGGACGGGUGAGUAAUACAUAGGAAAUCUGCCCUUAGCUGGGGGACAACAGUUGGAAACGACUGCUAAUACCGCAUAUGAGCUUAGUUGAAAUACUAAUCUUGAAAACUCCGGUGGCUAAGGAUGAGCCUGUGCCUGAUUAGCUAGUUGGUGGUGUAAUGGACUACCAAGGCGACGAUCAGUAGCUGGUUUGAGAGGAUGAUCAGCCACAAUGGGACUGAGACACGGCCCAUACUCCUACGGGAGGCAGCAGUAGGGAAUUUUGCGCAAUGGGGGAAACCCUGAACCGCAGCAACGCCGCGUGACCGAUGAAGCCCUUCGGGGUGUAAAGGUCUGUCAGUGGGGACGAAACUUGACGGUACCCACAGAGGAAGCAUCGGCUAACUCCGUGCCAGCCGCCGC